This 489-nucleotide ribosomal RNA is filed under the name Triticum aestivum (bread wheat). RNAcentral's name for it is "partial small subunit ribosomal RNA". Lineage: Eukaryota; Viridiplantae; Streptophyta; Magnoliopsida; Poales; Poaceae. The record is from RNAcentral.
AUGAAUGAUGUUUAUGAAAAUGAACUUGCUAUUGUUCCUUAUGUUAAACAUGAAAUUAUUGCUAUUGCACCUAAACAUGAUAGUCCUAUUAUCUUUUUGAAUUCUCCAAACUACACUAUAUUGGAGAAGUUUGCACUGAUUAAGGAUAAUAUUGUUGGGUUGCCUUUUACUGUUGCACAUGAUGAUUUUGAUGAAUAUAAUAUGCAUGUGCUUUCUGCUCCUAGUUGCAAUUAUUAUGAGAGAGGAACUACAUCUCUACCUCUCUAUGUUUCCAACACGAUAAAAAUGCAACAAACUGCUUAUGCUAUGUAUUGGCUCUUACUUUGUGUGCAUGGAUUGUUCUUUUAUGACAUGCUGAUGCAUAGAAAGAGAGUUAGACUUUGUCAUUGCAUGAUAUAUGUUGCUUUUUUCUCAUUACUAAAUUAUAAAUCAUUGUUAAUUAAAAAUGGCUUUGAUAUACCUUGGGAUCCGGGUGGAUCAAUUACUUGA